Molecule: long non-coding RNA, 1014 nt
Organism: Patella vulgata (common limpet)
Lineage: Eukaryota; Metazoa; Mollusca; Gastropoda; Patellidae
Exons: 5
Source: RefSeq, a predicted model, not a curated record
CUGUCGAUUGGCGAUAAUUGUACAGCUGGCGCCCUCUGCCCGGGUAACUCUACCUGUACACCAGCCACCGGUGGUUGCAUCAACAGAUGUUGGUGUGACGUAGGAUUUGCCCCUUCUGCUGAUAAAAAGUCAUGUUUACCUGUUGUAAAAAUAGGGGAUGUGUGUAGUAGAGAAAGCACAAGAUGUAUCUCGCCUUUAUCACGAUGUAUUGACGGGCAAUGUGAAUGUUAUCGCGGGUUUUCGCCUGUUGUCAAUAACACUGGUUGUAAACCUAAAGACUAUCCACCGUACGUUGUAAUACCAGCCCUAGGGGAGUUGUGUGAUGGCAAAAACAAAAGGUGCUUUAUGAAACAAGAACAGAUUUGUGGUAAUUCUAAAGUUUGUGAGUGUAGACAGGGUCUUAGACCAGCUGAAUAUGAAGAUUUAGUGGCUGAAUAUUACAAUAUGCAACAAUGCCGUAAUGAAAGCUUUAUUAGAGGUUACCGACCAACGUUAACUUGUAGUGAACCACCGGUUUCUUUAAUGGCCGAACCCGAUGAUGAUGAAACCACUAGUGCCGCAGCUUCACCCAAUCAGAUUCUAUCAAUUGUUGUACCUACAGUUGUCGUUAUAGCUGGUAUCAUGGCAACCAUCUACUCCAUUAUGAAAUGGAGAAGGAGGAGACGUACUACACACAGCGACGAUUCGAGUUCUUCAAGUAGAAGUGAAUGUGAUAGCGAAGCUAGCUUCCGGUUACCACGUCCCCAUUUUAUCCAGCCAAGUUUAUUCCGAGACGAUAGAAGUUGGAAUAAUACUGACAAGAACUUUAAUAACCCUUUAUAUAAUAGUUAAUAGGACUAUAUUAGAUCAAUUCAUAUAUGCAAAGAAUUACUCAACUAGAGCUUUAUUCCCAAAAGAUUUGGGUACAGCUCCGUUCAAUACACGCUGCUCUGACAUCUGUGGUCUGUAGUAAUGACAUUUAAAGCGACACUCCAAUAAAGUAAUCCAUUUGGCUGCAUUUUCAUCACGAUUUCU